This 238-nucleotide long non-coding RNA is filed under the name Physcomitrium patens. Its description in RNAcentral is "long non-coding RNA (PPAT_LNC006646)". The record is from RNAcentral. Lineage: Eukaryota; Viridiplantae; Streptophyta; Bryopsida; Funariales; Funariaceae.
GUUGUAAUGGUGAAUCGGGAUUUUUAAUGAAGUGGGUCUGAUUACUCUUGACUGUUUUGUGAAAUCGAGUUAUGUCUGUGAUGAAGAGUUAAAAGGGUGUCUAUAGGAUUGAGUAUGCGGAGUGAAUGAAAUUUAUUGGGUUAAUCUAACAAGACAGUCAGUGGAUACAAGAUCAUGAGUAUAAAGCGGUAUCAAAGAUUAGCAGUUUGGAUUGUUCGGGGUUCUCUGUAACGUCUAG